CCCUCCCUCUUUCUUCAUGCCUAACACAUGCAAGUCGAACGAAGGCUUCGGCCUUAGUGGCGCACGGGUGCGUAACGCGUGGGAAUCUGCCCUUAGGUUCGGAAUAACAGUUAGAAAUGACUGCUAAUACCGGAUGAUGACGUAAGUCCAAAGAUUUAUCGCCUGAGGAUGAGCCCGCGUAGGAUUAGCUAGUUGGUGUGGUAAAGGCGCACCAAGGCGACGAUCCUUAGCUGGUCUGAGAGGAUGAUCAGCCACACUGGGACUGAGACACGGCCCAGACUCCUACGGGAGGCAGCAGUGGGGAAUAUUGGACAAUGGGCGCAAGCCUGAUCCAGCAAUGCCGCGUGAGUGAUGAAGGCCUUAGGGUUGUAAAGCUCUUUUACCCGUGAUGAUAAUGACAGUAGCGGGAGAAUAAGCCCCGGCUAACUCCGUG
Molecule: ribosomal RNA, 433 nt
Filed under: uncultured bacterium
Lineage: Bacteria
Description: partial 16S ribosomal RNA
Rfam family: Bacterial small subunit ribosomal RNA
Source: RNAcentral